RNAcentral lists this transfer RNA (68 nucleotides) under bovine gut metagenome. It matches the Rfam family "tRNA". Rfam says of the family: Transfer RNA (tRNA) molecules are approximately 80 nucleotides in length. Their secondary structure includes four short double-helical elements and three loops (D, anti-codon, and T loops). Further hydrogen bonds mediate the characteristic L-shaped molecular structure. tRNAs have two regions of fundamental functional importance: the anti-codon, which is responsible for specific mRNA codon recognition, and the 3' end, to which the tRNAs corresponding amino acid is attached (by aminoacyl-tRNA synthetases). tRNAs cope with the degeneracy of the genetic code in two manners: having more than one tRNA (with a specific anti-codon) for a particular amino acid; and 'wobble' base-pairing, i.e. permitting non-standard base-pairing at the 3rd anti-codon position. The record is from RNAcentral.
CCUGUAGCUCAGCUGGAUAGAGCAACGGCCUUCUAAGCCGUGGGUCGGGGGUUCGAAUCCCUUCAGGC